RNAcentral lists this ribosomal RNA (255 nucleotides) under Rheinheimera sp. Its description in RNAcentral is "partial 23S ribosomal RNA". It matches the Rfam family "Bacterial large subunit ribosomal RNA", at positions 2676 to 2925 of the family's 2925-position model. Lineage: Bacteria; Pseudomonadati; Pseudomonadota; Gammaproteobacteria; Chromatiales; Chromatiaceae. The record is from RNAcentral.
UCCUAGUACGAGAGGACCGGAGUGAACGAACCGCUGGUGUUCGGGUUGUCAUGCCAAUGGCAUUGCCCGGUAGCUACGUUCGGAACGGAUAACCGCUGAAAGCAUCUAAGCGGGAAGCCGGCCACAAGAUGAGUCAUCCCUUGGACUUUAAGUCCACUAAAGGGUCGUUGGAGACCACAACGUUGAUAGGUGAGGUGUGGAAGCGCAGUGAUGCGUUAAGCUAACUCAUACUAAUUGCCCGAGAGGCUUAACCAU